UGGGGAAUAUUGGACAAUGGGCGAAAGCCUGAUCCAGCCAUGCCGCGUGUGUGAAGAAGGUCUUCGGAUUGUAAAGCACUUUAAGUUGGGAGGAAGGGCAGUAAGCGAAUACCUUGCUGUUUUGACGUUACCGACAGAAUAAGCACCGGCUAACUCUGUGCCAGCAGCCGCGGUAAUACAGAGGGUGCAAGCGUUAAUCGGAAUUACUGGGCGUAAAGCGCGCGUAGGUGGUUCGUUAAGUUGAAUGUGAAAGCCCCGGGCUCAACCUGGGAACUGCAUCCAAAACUGGCGAGCUAGAGUAGGGCAGAGGGUGGUGGAAUUUCCUGUGUAGCGGUGAAAUGCGUAGAUAUAGGAAGGAACGCCAGUUGCGAAGGCGACCACCUGGGCUCCUACUGACACUGAGGUGCGAAAGCGUGGGGAUCAAACAGG
RNAcentral lists this ribosomal RNA (429 nucleotides) under Pseudomonadota bacterium. Its description in RNAcentral is "Proteobacteria bacterium partial 16S ribosomal RNA". It matches the Rfam family "Bacterial small subunit ribosomal RNA", at positions 355 to 776 of the family's 1533-position model. The record is from RNAcentral. Lineage: Bacteria; Pseudomonadati; Pseudomonadota.